UUGGAUUCUGCCCAGCCCCUGGGUUCUAAGAUUGCUGUCCCAUUCCACAGAGGUGAAUGCCGAUACUCGCCCAGCUGUUCCUGACGGGCCCCGGGGUCUCUCUCUGCCCCUCUUCCCUGCCUGCCGCACUCACAGCAUCAGGUGGCUGCGCUCAAGCUCGCUGCGGUCCAGGGCCCCGCCGGUGAGGUCCGCCUGCUCCGGUGCCUUCUCCCAGUCCUUUAGCGCUGCCUCCGAUGGGGACUCGAAAACUUCAUCCGGGUAUGUGGACAGCUCUUCAUGGAGGAUACCUUCCUGAGCAAACACAUGAGGUCAGGGUGGACACAGGCAGGAAGGGAACGUGGGGUGGGGGGACACCCCGGGCACUUCUUACCCGGGCAAAGAAGGAUGUGUCCAGCUCAUCGGGGAAAUCAGUUGUGUCCUCCUCCAGAAAGCUAGCUGGAGUGAAGCUUCGACGCUGUGCCCGGCGAAAGGUGCCAUCCCUAACGGAGCGGCCCUGGGGACGGGGAAGUGAGCAUGAGACCCGGCUGCUGGGUCGGCCCCCAACCCCGCCUUUGGCCCCUGCACCCACUUUC
RNAcentral lists this long non-coding RNA (572 nucleotides) under Homo sapiens (human). Its description in RNAcentral is "long non-coding RNA NONHSAT051736.2". The record is from RNAcentral. Lineage: Eukaryota; Metazoa; Chordata; Mammalia; Primates; Hominidae.